UAUAUAUUGAGUAUAUAUAUAGCACUUAUUGAUCAAGGUUUCUUGAAAGAACAACAGACAGCAAAUUGCACUUUUCCCACUAAUAAAUUUUUGCUCUUUUCUCACAUUUGAUAUCCAAAGCAAUUCAAAGUGAAACAUUAGCCAGUGCUGACAAUAUUUUUUAAAUCCUGUACUAACAGAAUUUACUCAAUUAAGCUUCCUUGUAAUUAUUUUUCAUUGGGCCAUGAAAGAACUGGUAGAAUAUUGUAUCUGAUCCACAUCAGCUAGUGUGUUCAUGUUUUGCAGUUCUACAGGGUCAGGUGAUAUUUGCCCAUUAUAUGAAACAAUUCAACCCAAUUACCUUUCCAAGGACCUCCCUGUGGACUGACCUCUUUCAUGACCUGAUCUCCCACCGACUGCACAGCAGGCUUCAUAUGUCAGUCAUAAUACUGUAUGAUAUAUUGCUGUAAUAUGCCCACAGUGGUUGGAAUUUAAGAGAUUUCAUGAAGGGAUUGCUAAAACAUUUGGAGUCUGGCUCCUUAGAAAAUGUGUAGCUAUUUGUUGAAUCCAUCAUCCUGUCAUAGGUUUAAUGAGGUCUGAAUCUUCUCCCUCUCUAUGUAUUCUGGAGUUCGCAGAGCCAUGACAGUCGCAGUUGAAGGUUCUUCCCAUCUGGCCAUGAUGGAUCAUAUUCAGGCAUGUUUUAAUGGGUUAUUGCAUUCAUUCCACGGUUCCUAAAGUUUGCAGGUUGUUGCCUGCAGUCUGUGCUUUAUCCCUAAGCCUCCUGAAUUCAAACUGGAUGCAUUGGAUCAAGCUUCACUUAAAGAUCUCAGUCAGUCCUCACUGGACAGCAGCAUUUACGUAUAUGUGCAACAGGCAGGAGAAUGAGCAACAAUGCCCUUUGAUUUCAAUCUUCUUUGGCAAUCAGUUAUGAGUAGGUGAAUUUACAUUUUUGGCAAUUUUUUUUUUUGUUUUGAGAGAUAUAUUGUUUGACAGGAAAUAAUGAAUAGAAAUAGCUGAAGUUGAAAGCUGGAUACCUAGUUUUUCCUUUUUAAAUGUAGCUUGACAAUUAUUGGUGAGCAUUAAUGUUGGAGAGGGUUGGCUUCACUAGCUACUGAACACAUUUAUUUAGGCUUGAACUUGAUGCUGUUAGGUGGCAGUGCUACCUGUGAGUAGAGCAGGGCGACAUAUUGUUUCUGGUUUGAUGUGCCUCUGAUGCAGCUGGUGUGGAUUGAAGUGCUAGUUAAAACGGAAGCAUAAUUACAAGUGUGUAAAGAUUCAUCUGAUAGUUGACAUUUAGUCAAAUUUUUCUCUGACAAAAGGAGACAUCAUCUGCACAUCAGCUGCUCCCACAGGAUUUUUACUAUAGCCUGUGUUGUGUUUGCAUCUUGUAAAGGUGUUUACUAUCUCCAGUAUGUAUCUGUACCUCCUCAACAACUGUUGGACAGUUAAGACAUUUCUCCCCUCAUUAUGCAUUUGAUACACGACAAACAGUCAAUUGUGCAAUAAAUAGUCCUUUAAACACAGGUAGAUCUUUCUUGUGCUCCCGCAGUGCCCCUGAGAGUUAAAUUAAGUGUUUGUUUAUUUAGCUUAGCGUGAUAUAUAUGAUGUACACCCUUCAGCAAAAACCAGGUUCUGUCCAAGAUGAUCUGUUGAAACAGGUAUAUGUUCAAAAUUCUUUACUGCCUAGAAAGAUGUCAAUCACAGGAAUCAUACUUUUUCCACUGAUCGCAUCACCCAUGCACCAGGUGCAAUUUUACUUAAUGUACCUGCAAGAAGACCACAUACAGCAUAUUGUAGCUACAAUUGCUAGCUUGAAAGCAAGCCAUAUGUGGUGUUUUUCAAAGCAUGAGCUUACUCAAAAAUGUACUCAGAGUGUCUCAAAAGAUAAACUCUUGCAACUCUCUUAUUUUUGAUGGCUUGGUUCCUGGUCAACAUUAUAUAGAGUUCACUACAGUUUUCAGUGAAAUUGACCUUCAAUGGUAUGAACAGAUCCAUUAGUGAUAGGCAGAUAUUGGAUUACUUACACUUUGUGUGAGUCUUCCCCCGUCAGAAACAUGUUACCCAUGAAUGUCAAUUUCAACCCCUUUUGCAUCACUAAGAGAAACAGUUCAUCCAGCAGCUGGAAAUACUCCUCUAUUACAGAAGUAAGUCAUCCAUAUAACAGAGUAAAACAGAGGAGGAGGAGUACGGGGACCAUUCUGGUGGUGUUCCAGGAUUCACUUGAGGAUGUCCUCAAGUAAAAAGAAAAAGAUAUAUUUAUAAUGUCUCUGCAGAUCAGCUGUGCCAACAUGAUGAGGACUUAUUGCACAGUUACUUUAUUAAAUCUCUUUACGCUUCUUAAGGAGAUUAUGCAAAACGAGGAGGGAGACCAAAUUAUACUCCCUGCCGUUUUUAAUACUGAAAACAGAUUGAGCUUCUGAAAUUGCCUCAAUUGGACUGUGAGAAAAUAAUUUUUGCCUCAGCAUAUUGUUUGCAUAAUAUAUCCAAACACAAUGUUUUCUCAUGAAUUGGGAAAGGAAAUGUUCUCAGAUGUUGCAAGAGAACCACCAUGGAUCAUUGGAGCAUUGCUGCUCACAGGUUGAAAAUCACUGGCUUACAGUAUGUUAUAUCUUGUCUUUGGUGUUGAUUGCCUGAUUGUUAAAAAAAAAACAACAACAACAACCCAUACCCCAAAGAAAUUCUUUGCUUGCAGAGCCCCUUGGCUGAAGUUAGUGCCGCUUUCCUAAAAUGCCAGCCCAUGCUUGAAAGGCUUUAGGUGGCUGUUAGUGCUGAAACUGCAAAUGCUGCCCUGGUGAAGGUUCUAAAUUGUCCUAUGUGGGUGUUUAAGCUUUUGUAUGACUGAUUUGGGCACAGUGUAACCCAAAUUUGCCUAGCAGGGCCUUAAACUGCAACAGUACUCUUACUGACCGGAAUCACUUGACAGGCUGUGAGGAUUCCCACAGAACUCCCAGCAUGCAGCUGCUCUUUGAAAAGGAAUAAUAUUGAAAUGCUAUCCAUUUUAAUUGCAGUCAUGGCACCAAGGUGAUUAUUUUAUUAUCAGUCUUUAGUAGUCAUGCACACUGUAUUAAUUAUGCACUUAUUAUAAAUGGAUGGGAUGUCUCUUUCAAGGUUACAAAAGUUCACUCUUAAGCAUGACCGUGAAUGUUGAAGUUGAUAGAUUUAAAGUAACUGCUAUCUUGUAUCUGCAUUUGCAGUGUAGUGACAGGUUACUGCAUGCUGGAAAAGGAACCAGCUGAAGCUGUUCCCAGCUGUCUGUCCACAGACACAGAGCUCAAAAGAAAGGGGGGUUCCAAGAAUAUAUUGAUGUGCAGGGAGGACCACAAUUACUUGUGUCUGGUUUACUUACAAGGAAGUGAUCAGCUUCAGAUCCUGGACUGAAAAUUAUGACCUUGUUAAGUAGAUUCUGUACCAGAACAAAAAUACCACCCUGUGCCCUGCCCACCACUUCAGACUGUGCUUCCUACAACUAGUAUUUUACAUUAGGCCUGGUGGCAUAAAAGCACUUCAAACAUCGGUGCCAUUUUAUAUGUAAAUAUUAACACUACCGUAUUUAUCAGGGCUUUAAUGUCUCUAAUAUUCUAUGCAUUCUCUAGCACACCCUCUACAUCUUCAUUACUAUAAACAGAAUUAAGAAUAUGGUGGAAUGUACAAGAUCUUUGUCUUGAUAGAGAGUCCUUGAUGUUGUAAAGGAAAAAAGUGUUUGGAAAAUGUUCUUUAACAUUCCUAGGGGAGAGCUGAGGUCUGUGUCCACUCAUCAUAUGAAAUGUGUGAUGUCGGAGGAUUACUUUAGUCAUGAUUCUCAAUUCAACACUGAAAGACACAAGGUUGUUUGAAUGUCACCAGUAAGACUCACUGUCAACAUCUUAUAUUUCCAAGGAACUGUUUUUACCAUCAGAGGUUAAACUCCUUCACAGAUGUGAAAUUAUUAUUAAUGAUUGGUUAAAUGACAAAUUAUCAUACUUGCGAAGACAGUGAACUCACAGGGAAAGCAUGAGCUCUUGUCUAUUCCAUUCUGCAUGCAUGGCACACAUACUGUAGAGUGCAAUGAAAUGAGAUUUCUUAGUGAGUUUGUGUGUUUCGUUCAGUUCUUUCUUACAGAGUGGAAGAAAAGGCAGCCUUGGGUAUUUACUGUUCACUAAGUGGAACACAUCAGCCUUCAGCUUUUGGAUUAACUGUCAAUUAUUGACUAAUGAACUAUUUUAAGACACUGUGAUCUUUGGCAAACCAACAGGUGAGCUUGUGUUUUUGUUCUAUUUAUCCUAUCUCUGUGUAGCUGCAGAUCCAAUGAUGGAGGUUUGAGCUGAUUUCAGAACAGAGUGUCCAGUGUGUUUGUGAGGAAGAUGCAGUGGCUGUCAUUAUGCAGUCCUCACCAUUAGUAUGUAGAGGCCACUUUCAAAAUUUUGACCAGCCAAUCUCCUUCUUCUGUGUAGCAGCACUGUGUAAUUAAUUUAUCCUGGUUGUGGAGCGUAGACGUCGAUCCAUCGCAGGCAAGUGUAAUCGAUGUUAUCUAUCUGGCUGUCUUGCCUGGCACUAGAAGAUGCUUCUCUGUAGAUGCUCUUACAAGAAUCUCUGUGCAGAGACUGCAGCAACAAAUGUUUUAUCACUGCAAUAUGAUUUUUGACAGCACAUAGUGUUUAAUAUCCAACCCAAAUCCAGUCAAACCCAUAUUUCUGUAAUUUCUUAUGUUUUCAUACAAAGUUAGCAAUAGGUUUGUUUUAAUGUUUUUUUUUUUAAUAUAAUUUUUUAAACAUUUUUAUUUGUGUUGUUACAUAUAUUUGUGCAUACACUUGACAGAAAGUUAAAAAUGCUUAACUUUAAAAUUUGUGAAAAUGAAAAUAUUGGAAUGGGACUUGUGUAAAAAAUGUGUUCAGCCCCAUUUUCACAUUUGCUUGUGUCAAUUCUCAUUUAUUUCUGCAUUCGAUAUUUUCAAAAAUAAUGCCAAAAACAUGAAUAAACUUACAGAAAAUUACUUGAGUGCAUUUUUUAAGGACAUCUUUUACAGUUCCAAAAGCGGUGUUCUUUUCUGUUUCUGUUUUUUUCUGGAAUCUCUAUGUCAAGCAAUUUAUUAUACAACACACAAAAUAUGGUCUUUUACACAAAUUUUGAAGCUUAAAGUUAUCAACCAACUAAGAAAGGAUAGAAAAAUAAAUCUGAGCUCUUCUUCAUCAUACCACUUCCCACAGUAUCAAUUUUGCACUCUAGCAUUACUCAUUAUUUUUCUGUACUGCAUGCUAAGUUCUGGAAUU
Long non-coding RNA from Ictalurus punctatus (channel catfish), 5225 nucleotides. The record is from Ensembl. Lineage: Eukaryota; Metazoa; Chordata; Actinopteri; Siluriformes; Ictaluridae.